GUAACAAGGUUUCCGUAGGUGAACCUGCGGAAGGAUCAUUAUCGAGUUUUUGAAUGUUGUUGUUGCUGGUCUUCUCGAGGACAUUGUGCACGCCCUGCUCAUUAGUUUCCACUUCAUACCCCUGUGCACCUUUGACUAGAUUUGGGUUUGACGGUUAUCGCAAAUUUGGUUUUUUUUCGUUAAUUGAAAGCGCAUCUUUGGUUUCCUUAGAACGACUUCUAUACUAUACCACACACUCUUUGAAAUGUAUGUUUUAUAAUGUAAGGGUUUAUAAUGACAAGGCCAUGAGCCUUAUAGAUCUUAUAUACAACUUUCAGCAACGGAUCUCUUGGCUCUCGCAUCGAUGAAGAACGCAGCGAAAUGCGAUAAGUAAUGUGAAUUGCAGAAUUCAGUGAAUCAUCGAAUCUUUGAACGCACCUUGCGCUCCUUUGGUAUUCCAGAGGAGCAUGCCUGUUUGAGUGUCAUUAAAUUCUUCAAACUCUAUGCAACCUUUAUUGUUGUAGCUGUUGUAGGCUUGGACUUGGAGGGCUUGUUGGCUUCUUUCUUUGAAGUCGGCUCCUCUUAAAUGCAUUAGCUUGACUUUGUUGCGGCUCUGCUGUCAUGGUGUGAUAAAUUGUCUACGCCGUAGACGCGUGCAAUUCGUUUGGAUGAGUUGUCCAGCUUUCUAAUCGUCUUCAAGGGACAAGUUAUUUAUGACACUUUGACCUCAAAUCAGGUAGGACUACCCGCUGAACUUAAGCAUAUCAAAUAAGCGGAGGAAAAAGAAACUAAAACCAAGGGCAUUCCCCUAGUAACUG
This 797-nucleotide ribosomal RNA is filed under the name Pleurotus sp. BAB-4998. RNAcentral describes it as "eukaryotic LSU rRNA". The stretch from base 309 to 464 matches the Rfam family "5.8S ribosomal RNA". The record is from RNAcentral. Lineage: Eukaryota; Fungi; Basidiomycota; Agaricomycetes; Agaricales; Pleurotaceae.